This 2836-nucleotide unclassified non-coding RNA is filed under the name Leishmania donovani. Its description in RNAcentral is "gene:LdHU3.20.0470(CDS-product:hypothetical_prote in)". The record is from RNAcentral. Lineage: Eukaryota; Euglenozoa; Kinetoplastea; Trypanosomatida; Trypanosomatidae.
UUUGGGGUGUGCGAUAGCACCCAAACGUAUAUUCACAUGUUGGCUGCAGCGAGACUGCUGCCGCGUUUACGGGCGCUCUCUGCAGCGCCGGAGAAGCGACAGCUAGCAACAGCGGCCCUCGUCCUUGGGUCGUCCUUGCCUUCUGUGCCACCUUAGUGACUGCGGGCCCCGCGCAGCAGCCUCUACGCAAUGCGGAUGAUGACGGCCAACCCUCCAAUGUGAAAGACGCGCCGUCUGCGCUUGCGUUGUGGCCCUUCAUCCUCAUCGCUGCCGCGGCGAUCGCCGUCGUCACAUGGAUGGUGCUGGCCGCCCUGCAGUGGUGUCGCGCCCGCAGUCGCCGCACUGAGGACGCUGCGCGAGGCGAAGAAAUCGAGGAGAGCAUCCGUCUCGUGACGACCCGCCUGUACCGGAUACAAGAGCUGUGGCAGGCGCAUCAGCUGCGAGCCGUUUCACAGCAGCACGACUCUUGCACAGAGACGCUUCAGCACGGCCCGAUGAGUGUAAAGAUGCAAGAGUCUCGUGAACUCUCUCACCAACAGCUGCAAGUGCACAUCUCUUCAUGCAAUGCGUCUGACGAAAACGCUGAGGUGCUACUGACCCCCCAAGACCGCCGCGCCAUCAUCGUUUCACCUCCAUCACUGCCGACCGCCGCCGCCGCCGCCACCGAUUUAUCAGCAGCAUCUGCAGAAUGCAUCAGUGACCUCGAGCUAUCAGCCCGGUAUAGCUGGUGGCAGCGACUUGCUGGCCAAGCUCAAGCCGGACUCACUCAUGUCACUGUCCUCCGCAAGCGGGCUGAAAGCGACCGUGCCCCUGUCGCCCUUGAUACGCAGCACCGGAAUCAUUCCGUCGCUUCGAUCGGCGGCGUCCACACGCGUGUUUGCUGGAAUCUCAAACGCAGCCGCUUUACGUCGCUCCCUGCGCGCUCCCCAGCUGGACAUGGAACCGCCGGCAUUCCCCUUGCUGCCGCCGCCUACACAGCACCCGUCUAGCUCGUCAUCCACUCUAACGACGUGGAGCGAAUUCGAGGAGUCGCCGUUCUACCAAGUGAUCUCGACUUUUCAGUUCCCGGUCGACCUCUCGGGGGAGCCGAGCGGGGGUACGGACGAGUCUGUGCUUGAAACUAGCAGUGUAGAAACAUUGGUGGUGCAUUACCGCGGCGGCGGCGGGGCACAAUCACCGCGCGGCACAGCUGACGACUGCGCCGAGGAAGGCAUGGCUGCAAUGGCGCGGCACACAGGCGUUGCGGCGGCAUACAGACAUGUCGACCUCCACAUCCAUCUCGAAGUUGAUGAGCCGGACGAAACGCCGAUGCCGCAGCGGUGUCGUUAUGGAUGUGCUGGGGAGAAGCACCGAGGUCUCUUGCCUUCACCGACGCCGCAUUCAUGUCCGCGACGCUACUUUGAGGGUGAUGCCGCGUUCAUGAGUAAUAGUCCCGCAGUAGAGGAUAGCCGUGUAAACCUCGCAGCGGGCAACAACUCAGCUGCCCUACCAGCCACACGGACAGAGCGCCGUGCCCAUGAGACCGUGGCUGCAGCUGUUGCCGAAGGUGGCGACUUGUCGCUGGAUGCAUCUGUCUUCGCUGACGAUGCGGAGUUGCAGGGACGCUUCACCCCCAGUCGCUUAAAGAGUGCGAGGGAAUCGGGCGGCAGCCGACUUCUGCUCGUAUCUCUGCAUCCCACCGCUCUACAGUAACAGGCGCGAAACUCGCGCGUGACACGGGUGCUUCCUCCUCCGCGCACGCCAAAACCGCCACCGGCUCCCUUCCACGUCAACAGCUCCUCCACUUGACUCGCCAAGAGCGCUCUAUGAUGGCACCGUAGAACGCCAAUUCAUCGUCACCACCAACACCACUGUUACCACUGAAGUGCGUGCAGAGAAAAUCGACGGAGGAAGCGCUCGACAACUCGACAACCUGCUAAUGAAUGCUCUAUGCACAAUCUACAGCGCUCCCCCCUCCCUCCCUCCCUCCCUCCCCGGUAACACGGCGGUGCCCCUGCAGUGUCUAGUGGUACGUGCUUGUAUUUCACGCUCAGUGCAUAUGGAAGUCGUAGAUGUGAUGGAACGCCGCAGAUAACGCGCAGCAUACCCCCUGCGUCUCAAGCUUGACCCCGUGUGUACAUGUUUUCCCUUUUGCAUGUCAUCAACUUCUUUGCAUUGAACUCCGGUUGAUGUAUGCAUGGCUGUCCCUUCCUUCCCUCCCUGGGUGUACCGUGUUUGUGUGUGUACGUGUGCUUGUGUGUGUGUAGGCCACGGGCCCCUCCUGCUCUCUCUCUGUGUGUUUUUUUUUUUGCGUUUCCCCUUCUCAUCUGCUUUGCUUAUUUUGUGUAUUUGUGUUUAUUCCUCCUCCUCGCUGCCCCGUUGAGCUACUCAGGGUGGGGGUACGGAGUGCCGUCUGUCUGCAUUGACACCCUGUCACUCAGUCACUUGCACAGACACAUGUGCACAAACCAGCAGCAACGCGUAUGUGUGCGCGUAGCCUGCUUAGCCUGCGUCUUUAAUAUACUUUCCAGCGUUCCCUUUUCUAUUUCUUCUCGGUUCUGCAACGUCUCACCUGCGUUGUUAGAUGCUUGCGUUUUCAACGCAACGUCUGCAGCCGACCUCUACAUGCAAGUGAAAGUGUCACGAGCCGUUGCGUGUGUAGAGCGUCGCUAUUCCCAACGGUAGUGUCUGCGCCUUCUUGUCUCUGCACCCAUCUAUAUCUACCUCUAUAGAUGUGUUUUGGCGUACUCGUGGUGCGCUAUGCCUUCUUACCCCUCCUCCUUUUGGUCUUUCUCUGCCGUUCUCCUCUCGUCCUGCUCGUUCUCGCAUUUUUCUUUUCAUGUGUUGUGCUGAUCAG